UCCUCGUUAGUACAGUGAGUAUCCACGGCUGUCACGCGGGAGACCGGGGUUCGAUUCCCCGACGGGGAG
RNAcentral lists this transfer RNA (69 nucleotides) under Xiphophorus maculatus (southern platyfish). It matches the Rfam family "tRNA". Rfam says of the family: Transfer RNA (tRNA) molecules are approximately 80 nucleotides in length. The record is from Rfam by way of RNAcentral. Lineage: Eukaryota; Metazoa; Chordata; Actinopteri; Cyprinodontiformes; Poeciliidae.